CCACCGUGCGCGGUGGUUCCGACGGUGGCUCCGGUGGGCUGUGGAGAUGAUUCAACUUCCAGAGGCUUCCUCGUAAAUUUUUGGAAUUUUUGAGACACAGAUAAACUUCGGGUGAUCGAGGUCAGCUAUUUUUCUGCAUCCAGCAGCCACAAUAGUCAUCGGUGUACUGCUACAGGAGGAGACAUUUUUCAGAAUAACCUGUCCCUUUCCUCUCAGGUUAUGAAAAGAUUACUUGAUUGUAUUAUUAUUCUCUAAAUUUGUAUUUUAGGACUCCGCAUGUACUAGUAGUAAUAUUAAUUCUGUCAGGGACUACAUGAAUUUAAGUUUUUGUAUUAAAAAAAUGAAAAUUUUUUUGAGUUUUAAAUAAUUUG
This is a long non-coding RNA of Hevea brasiliensis (rubber tree), 371 nucleotides long. RefSeq lists it as uncharacterized. The record is from RefSeq and is a predicted model, not a curated record. The transcript has 3 exons. NCBI's taxonomy places the organism in Eukaryota, Viridiplantae, Streptophyta, Magnoliopsida, Malpighiales, Euphorbiaceae.